RNAcentral lists this ribosomal RNA (650 nucleotides) under Nolanea strictior. RNAcentral describes it as "partial large subunit ribosomal RNA". It matches the Rfam family "Eukaryotic large subunit ribosomal RNA", at positions 81 to 717 of the family's 3401-position model. The record is from RNAcentral. Lineage: Eukaryota; Fungi; Basidiomycota; Agaricomycetes; Agaricales; Entolomataceae.
UAGUAACUGCGAGUGAAGCGGGAAAAGCUCAAAUUUAAAAUCUGGUAGUCUUUGGCUGCCCGAGUUGUAAUCUAGAGAAGUGUUAUCCGCGCUGGACCGUGUAUAAGUCUCCUGGAAUGGAGCGUCAUAGAGGGUGAGAAUCCCGUCUUUGACACGGACUACCAGGGCUUUGUGAUGCGCUCUCAAAGAGUCGAGUUGUUUGGGAAUGCAGCUCUAAAUGGGUGGUAAAUUCCAUCUAAAGCUAAAUAUUGGCGAGAGACCGAUAGCGAACAAGUACCGUGAGGGAAAGAUGAAAAGAACUUUGGAAAGAGAGUUAAACAGUACGUGAAAUUGUUGAAAGGGAAACGCUUGAAGUCAGUCGCGUUGAUCAGGGAUCAGCCUUGCUUUUGCUUGGUGUACUUCCUAGUUAACGGGUCAGCAUCAAUUUUGAUCAGUGGAGAAAGGUCAGGGGAAUGUGGCAUCUUCGGAUGUGUUAUAGCCUCUGGUCAUAUACAUUGAUUGGGAUUGAGGAACUCAGCACGCCGCAAGGCCGGGUUUUACCACGUUCGUGCUUAGGAUGCUGGCAUAAUGGCUUUAAUCGACCCGUCUUGAAACACGGACCAAGGAGUCUAACAUGCCUGCGAGUGUUUGGGUGGAAAACCCAUGCGCGU